GACGAACGCUGGCGGCGUGCCUAAUACAUGCAAGUAGAACGCACAGUUUAUACCGUAUCUUGCUACACCAUAGACUGUGAGUUGCGAACGGGUGAGUAACGCGUAUGUAACCUUCCUUGUAGCGUGGGAUAACUAUUGUAAACCAUAUCUAAUAUCCCAUAUUCUUAAUUAUUGCAUGAUAAUUCAUUGAAAGCUGCAAUUGCACCACUACCAGAUGGACCUGCGGUGUAUUAGCUAGUAGGUGAGGUAACGGCUCACCUAUGCGGCGAUACAUAGCCUACCUGAGAGGGUGAUCGACCAAAAUGGGAAUGAGACAAGGCCCAGACUCCUACGGGAGGCAGCAGGAGGGAAUCUUCGGAAAUAGACGAAAGGCUGAACGAGCAAAGCCGGGGGGGUGGAGAAGGGUUUCGGAUCGGAAAGCUCUGUUGUAAGAGAAGAACGGGUGUGAGAGUGGAAAGUUGACACUGUGACGGUAUCUUACGAGAAAGCGACGGCUAACUACGUG
This 505-nucleotide ribosomal RNA is filed under the name uncultured bacterium. RNAcentral's name for it is "partial 16S ribosomal RNA". It matches the Rfam family "Bacterial small subunit ribosomal RNA", at positions 28 to 507 of the family's 1533-position model. The record is from RNAcentral.